This 325-nucleotide ribosomal RNA is filed under the name uncultured bacterium. RNAcentral's name for it is "bacterial SSU rRNA". It matches the Rfam family "Bacterial small subunit ribosomal RNA", at positions 32 to 341 of the family's 1533-position model. The record is from RNAcentral.
AAUCAACGCUGGCGGCGUGCCUAACACAUGCAAGUCGAACGCGAAAGCCCCGCAAGGGUGAGUAGAGUGGCAAACGGGUGAGUAACACGUGGGUGAUCUGCCUCAGAGUGGGGGAUAACGACCCGAAAGGUCGCUAAUACCGCAUAACAUCCUGCCUUUGGAUAGGCGGUGAUCAAAGUUGGGGAUUCGCAAGAACCUGACGCUUGGAGAGGAGCCCGNGGCCGAUUAGCAGUUGGUGAGGUAACGGCUCACCAAGGCAACGAUCGGUAUCCGGCCUGAGAGGGCGGACGGACACACUGGGACUGAGACACGGCCCAGACUCCUA